UGAAUAUUUUGGAGAGAAAGUCUAGAGAGAUAUAUAGUUUAAGACUGAUUUUUUGGAGAUUAGAAAGUCAGAGCUUAAGAGUGAAAUAGAAGUUAGUAUUGAGUGCAAAACAUUGGCUGAAACUUACACUAAGGUUUCAGAAUUAGGAACCAAAUAUAGGCUGAACUUUUCAUCAAGAAAUCACUUAGUUUUUGAGAGUUUAUAAACUGAAAGUGGGGUUUCUUUUGUGGAUGCUUUUCUUCUGCUUUGUCUGUGAUUGUCAUUUGGUACUGCUUGGUGGUGGAAUCUGCUACUGGGCUUUUCUGUUGGGUUUUGAACACUGUUUCAGUAGAGUGUCUUGGUUUUCUGUUGGUUUGAAAGUUCCUGGGUUUUCCUGCUUGGUUUUAAAUCUUUCCUGGAACUUCUGCUACUGUUUGCUACUGGUUCUGCUGUGUUGUUGAACCUGUGUUGCUGUGUCGCUUCUUACAUUACU
This 472-nucleotide long non-coding RNA is filed under the name Nicotiana benthamiana. Its description in RNAcentral is "long non-coding RNA (NBEN_LNC027170)". Lineage: Eukaryota; Viridiplantae; Streptophyta; Magnoliopsida; Solanales; Solanaceae. The record is from RNAcentral.